This 25-nucleotide non-coding RNA is filed under the name Mus musculus (house mouse). Lineage: Eukaryota; Metazoa; Chordata; Mammalia; Rodentia; Muridae. The record is from RNAcentral.
UCCUCAUGCAAUUGCACAGCUUGCC